Molecule: ribosomal RNA, 253 nt
Filed under: uncultured bacterium
Lineage: Bacteria
Description: partial 16S ribosomal RNA
Rfam family: Bacterial small subunit ribosomal RNA
Source: RNAcentral
UACGGGGGGGGCAAGCGUUGUUCGGAAUUACUGGGCGUAAAGGGCGCGUAGGCGGCCCUCUAAGUCGAACGUGAAAUCCCUGGGCUCAACCCAGGAACUGCGUCCGAUACUGGCAGGCUUGAAUCCGGGAGAGGGAUGCGGAAUUCCAGGUGUAGCGGUGAAAUGCGUAGAUAUCUGGAGGAACACCGGUGGCGAAGGCGGCAUCCUGGACCGGCAUUGACGCUGAGGCGCGAAAGCCAGGGGAGCAAACGGG